UGAAAUGUCGGAGAUGCAGCAUAAGCUUACUUCUUGUUGAAUAUCAUGCAUCCAAGAAUAAAUUUCAUUUUGAAUUGUCGCAGUGACUCACCAACACCCCGAAGCAAAAAGCUGACAAAGGAUAUAAGCAUGAAAUGUGAAUGGAUAUCUAUGGUCCUGCUAUUCUCUGAAGUUGUUCUAAAUCCAAAGCUAGUCAGAAGUGAGCUGUACAAAUGCUUCAACUCAGAAGCUGCCUGUUCUUCCAUCUUAACGGAACUGAAACAGUGAGCCUGAGGUCUGUGGUGACAGCUACAUCUUUUCAGAUGAGAUCAGAAGCUGAAGACAUCCUGAUUUGUAUAAUCAUCAAGAUACAAAAUUUACGCAGGAAUAGGUGUUUUUUGUGAGUACUAAGCAUCAUUAGAGGUGGAAACCUCUAAUUUAUUCUGGAAACAAUUUUGCAUAUUUCUACUGUGGAUUUUUGCGUUAGUUAUAAUAACUACUGAUUUUUUUUACCCAUAAGGGACUGCAACAUUCUCAGUGACUAGGUUUACAUAACACAGCUAGGUACAGGUCCACCGUACCUAAACCUAAAUGCCC
RNAcentral lists this long non-coding RNA (576 nucleotides) under Gallus gallus (chicken). RNAcentral describes it as "lncRNA (ENSGALG00010023994.1)". Lineage: Eukaryota; Metazoa; Chordata; Aves; Galliformes; Phasianidae. The record is from RNAcentral.